RNAcentral lists this long non-coding RNA (946 nucleotides) under Marmota monax (woodchuck). The record is from RNAcentral. Lineage: Eukaryota; Metazoa; Chordata; Mammalia; Rodentia; Sciuridae.
CAUAGUAAGUGUCGUAGUGGCCUUUCAGUGAGAGCCAAGAGCAUAAUAGUAAAUGGUCAAGAACUUGAGUUCAAAUCUUGGCUGUGCUGUUUACUUUAGACGAGUUAUUUAACCUCUCUGUACCCUAGUUUCCUUAUUUGUAAGAUGAAGAAACCCUCACACGUACACACACACACACACACACACACACAUCAUGCAGCCCUCUUUGAGUGUUGGGAAGAUUGAAGGGAUCACAUUUAAGCACACUUUAAGUCCUUAAUAAACAUAAAUGGCUAUCAUUAUCAUUUACACUUGAAGCAAGUUUGCUGGGAUGGAUUUAAAAGUAUUUUCAAUCCAUAUUUUGCUGGCAGUCUUGUUCAUCCAAGAAAGACUUUUGUCAUCUUUGGAAUGAGUGGGCUAUAGGGAUUAUACUUCAGGCAAUCCUUCAAGAUGAUUUUUCUCUCAGAGGUUUUAGAUAAAUCAAGGCAUGACAGUGAAUUUUAGAUUAUAUGCUAUGACAAGUACCUGGAGGGCAGCUCUACCCUGUGGCUGAGUAAGGCAGGGCCCCACUUACCAGUCAUUGGGCUGGGUGGAAACACACCUUUUAACAAAGUUGGGGAUUAAGAUGCAUACAUGUGUCUGAAUAGAAAAGCACCUCACUUUUGCCUGUGCCUGGCCAGCAAAAGCACUUGCUUUCAUGUGAUCUUUGGGUAAUGUCAGCUCAGCUCUAUUGAGGAGAUUUAUUCAGCCUAGAAUUGGCCCACUUUUAGCUGCAUUUAAUAUUCAGUUUUCAUUUUAAGAACUUUAAAUGCCCGAAAUCUAACAGAUUGACAUACCCAACAAGCAAACACAUUUACAUGUUUACAAAAACUCUCAAAAAUAUAAGGCUGGAAUUAUAACUUUUUUAAAUAAUUUUUAUUGUUGGUUGUUCAAAACAUUACAUAGUUCUUGAUAUAUCAUAUUUCAC